RNAcentral lists this transfer RNA (82 nucleotides) under Ixodes scapularis (black-legged tick). It matches the Rfam family "tRNA". Rfam says of the family: Transfer RNA (tRNA) molecules are approximately 80 nucleotides in length. The record is from Rfam by way of RNAcentral. Lineage: Eukaryota; Metazoa; Arthropoda; Arachnida; Ixodida; Ixodidae.
GCAGUCGUGGCCGAGUGGUUAAGGUGAUGGACUAGAAAUCCAUUGGGGUCUCCCCGCACAGGUUGGAAUCCUGUCGACUGCU